GGGCGUAAAGCGCAUGCAGGUGGUUUGUUAAGUCAGAUGUGAAAGCCCGGGGCUCAACCUCGGAAUUGCAUUUGAAACUGGCAAACUAGAGUACUGUAGAGGGGGUAGAAUUUCAGGUGUAGCGGUGAAAUGCGUAGAGAUCUGAAGGAAUACCGGUGGCGAAGGCGGCCCCCUGGACAGAUACUGACACUCAGAUGCGAAAGCGUGGGGAGCAAACAGGAUUAGAUACCCUGGUAG
Molecule: ribosomal RNA, 237 nt
Filed under: uncultured bacterium
Lineage: Bacteria
Description: partial 16S ribosomal RNA
Rfam family: Bacterial small subunit ribosomal RNA
Source: RNAcentral